ACGAAUUGUCCACAUAAGAAUAGAGGUUUCAUAAGACAGAGGUCCAGUUAACUAGAUAAGCGGCAGGAUCAAAGUGCUAACCUGAGGAUUAUACAAUCGUCUUAAAAGAUGAACACCAAGUCUAUGAUAAUCCUGGUACUAUGUGGCCUUAUGGCACUACAGAUGACACAAGUUGAAGGUAUUUGCUACACCUAUGUUUGCCGAAGACGAUGUGUAUACACGCCCCCUCGGUAUGAGGAAUACGCCUUCCGCUACUUGUGGCCAAGAGCAUGUGGUCGUGUCGCUGUACAAAGAUACGGAAUAAAGGCAUGUUGCGUAACCUACGGGCGAUACUAGACUGAAAUCACAUCGACCAUGUGGUCAGAGAUUUAUGUUUCUGGUCACAUGACGAGAACUGGUGGUUGGUCAAUUGUUCCGCAAGAACUAUUUUCUCUGCGUAAUGCUACUUGCUAUGUUGUAACACGUUUGUCUUUUUAUGCUGUAAUUUGUCAUUUGAGUGCACUAUUUGUUGUUGUUAGCUUUGUGUUCAAAAUUGUCCAUUCAUUAUUUAUUGAAAAUGUAAAAAUCUCUUAAUAAAGAUUUUAAAGAAAAACAGA
This is a long non-coding RNA of Mercenaria mercenaria, 596 nucleotides long. RefSeq lists it as uncharacterized. NCBI's taxonomy places the organism in Eukaryota, Metazoa, Mollusca, Bivalvia, Venerida, Veneridae. The transcript has 3 exons. The record is from RefSeq and is a predicted model, not a curated record.